RNAcentral lists this unclassified non-coding RNA (201 nucleotides) under Hevea brasiliensis (rubber tree). Lineage: Eukaryota; Viridiplantae; Streptophyta; Magnoliopsida; Malpighiales; Euphorbiaceae. The record is from RNAcentral.
AAAGAAUUUUCAACCCAGAAUUUCAUAUCCAGCCAAACUAAGCUUCAUAAGUGAAGGAGAAAUAAAAUACUUUACAGACAAGCAAAUGCUGAGAGAUUUUGUCACCACCAGGCCUGCCUUACAAGAGCUCCUGAAGGAAGCACUAAACAUGGAAAGGAACAACCGGUACCAGCCACUGCAAAAUCAUGCCAAAUUGUAAAG